Molecule: unclassified non-coding RNA, 329 nt
Filed under: soil metagenome
Description: partial contains 5.8S ribosomal RNA, internal transcribed spacer 2, and large subunit ribosomal RNA
Rfam family: 5.8S ribosomal RNA (bases 1-120)
Source: RNAcentral
GAUGAAGAACGUAGCGAAAUGCGAUAAGUAGUGUGAAUUGCAGAAUUCAGUGAAUCAUCGAAUCUUUGAACGCACAUUGCGCCCCUUGGUAUCCCGAGGGGCAUGCCUGUUCGAGCGUCAUUUCACCACUCAAGCCUGGCUUGGUGUUGGGCGACGUCCUCUUUGGGGACGCGCCUCGAAACGCUCGGCGGCGUGGCACCGGCUUUAAGCGUAGCAGAAUCUUUCGCUUUGGAAGUCGGGGCCCCGUCUGCCGGAAGACCUGCUCGCAAGGUUGACCUCGGAUCAGGUAGGAAUACCCGCUGAACUUAAGCAUAUCAAUAAGCGGAGGA